UACAGAGGGUGCAAGCGUUACUCGGAAUUACUGGGCGUAAAGCGUGCGUAGACGGUUACAUAAGUCGGGUGUGAAAGCCCCGGGCUCAACCUGGGAAUUGCAUUCGAGACUGCGUAGCUAGGGUGCGGAAGAGGGAAGCGGAAUUUCCGGUGUAGCGGUGAAAUGCGUAGAUAUCGGGAAGAACACCCGUGGCGAAGGCGGCUCGCUGGGACGGUACUGACGCUGAGACGCGAAAGCGUGGGGAGCAAACAGG
RNAcentral lists this ribosomal RNA (253 nucleotides) under uncultured bacterium. RNAcentral's name for it is "partial 16S ribosomal RNA". It matches the Rfam family "Bacterial small subunit ribosomal RNA", at positions 524 to 776 of the family's 1533-position model. The record is from RNAcentral.